CGUAACAAGGUUUCCGUAGGUGAACCUGCGGAAGGAUCAUUACCGAGGACCAGGAUACGCAAGUAUCCUGAAACUCUCAACCCUAUGUUUACUAGCCUUGUUGCUUUGGCGGGAGACCCCGUAGACUCGUCGAGUUUCUACGGCCUUUUCAAAGCCUUAAUCAGCUUUGCAAUUGGGCCCGCCAAAGGAAGAAAUCUCAAAACCGAAUAAUCUUGUCUGAACAAUAUUACAAAAAAACAUAAAUGAAAACUUUCAACAACGGAUCUCUUGGUUCUGGCAUCGAUGAAGAACGCAGCGAAAUGCGAUAAGUAGUGUGAAUUGCAGAAUUCAGUGAAUCAUCGAAUCUUUGAACGCACAUUGCACCCGCCGGUAUUCCGGCGGGUAUACCUGUUCGAGCGUCAUAUCAAACCUCAAGCUUUAGCUUGGUUUUGGGUUACAUCUAUUGUAAGAUGAACUUUGAAGAACAAGACAGCGGUAUUAUAGUAGAACAGUACCCCGAGUGUUGCGAAAUCAAUUCUCUCUGGGACUUUAACAAGUACUAGCUGGAAUAGAAGACGCGUAACACGCGGCUCUUAUUCAACCUUUUAUUACCAAGAAUUUGACCUCGGAUCAGGUAGGGAUACCCGCUGAACUUAAGCAUAUCAAUAAGCGGAGGACAAGAAACCAACAGGGAUUGCCUUAGUAACGGCGAGUGAAGCGGCAAAAGCUCAGAUUUGAAAUCUGACUCUCUCCAGAGUCUGAGUUGUAAUCUGCAGAGGAUGCUUCGGAGGUGAUAUCAGUCCAAGUUCCUUGGAACAGGACGUCAGAGAGGGUGAGAAUCCCGUUUGUAACUGAUAUAUCUGCCUCUACGUGAAGCUCCCUCGACGAGUCGAGUUGUUUGGGAAUGCAGCUCAAAAUGGGAGGUAAAUUUCUUCUAAAGCUAAAUAUUGGCCAGAGACCGAUAGCGCACAAGUAGAGUGAUCGAAAGAUGAAAAGCACUUUGGAAAGAGAGUUAAACAGCACGUGAAAUUGUUGAAAGGGAAGCGCUCACGAUUAGACUUGCUCGUAUGAAUUCCAGUGUCCUCUUGAGAAUACUAUUUAUUCCUCGCAGCAGGCCAGCGUUGGUUAAGACGGCUAUUGAAGAAUCGGAGAAAAGUGGCCUACUCUUCGGAUCAGGUGUUAUAGUCUUUGAUAUGAUAUAGCCAGUAUUGACCGAGGUCCGCGCCUUUUGGCUGGGACGCUGGCAUAAUAGUCGUGAGCGGCC
RNAcentral lists this ribosomal RNA (1243 nucleotides) under uncultured fungus. RNAcentral describes it as "eukaryotic LSU rRNA". The stretch from base 600 to 1243 matches the Rfam family "Eukaryotic large subunit ribosomal RNA", at positions 1 to 649 of the family's 3401-position model. Lineage: Eukaryota; Fungi. The record is from RNAcentral.